This 96-nucleotide transfer RNA is filed under the name Nostocoides australiense. Its description in RNAcentral is "tRNA-Sec". It matches the Rfam family "Selenocysteine transfer RNA". The record is from RNAcentral. Lineage: Bacteria; Bacillati; Actinomycetota; Actinomycetes; Micrococcales; Intrasporangiaceae. RNAcentral also lists the same sequence under 2 other names.
GGAGGUGUCUGGGCUCCUGGUGGUCCCCCCGGUCUUCAAAACCGGUGUGCGGCGGUAUCCGUCGCAGGCGGGUUCGAUUCCCGUCCACCUCCGCCA